Long non-coding RNA from Acanthopagrus latus (yellowfin seabream), 1053 nucleotides. RefSeq lists it as uncharacterized. NCBI's taxonomy places the organism in Eukaryota, Metazoa, Chordata, Actinopteri, Spariformes, Sparidae. The record is from RefSeq and is a predicted model, not a curated record. The transcript is spliced from 8 exons.
AUGAGAAAAACACACCAGACAACAACACGGGCCGCAGAAGGAGGGUAGGACCAAAAAUACAUCUUUUCAGGGUUGAAUUUGAACAUCGAUACAUCCACGGAUACAUCCAAGAAUCACCCAUGUGUUGGAUUAUUUGGAAGUGAUGGACAAACUCCAGAGGUUAAAUCGGCAGAUAAGCCGAGCUGUCUAACGAGGGCGAGAAAUCCGCGGCGCACGUCAUCUGAGGGAAGCAAUCAAAAGACCUCCGGCUCAACUCGACGCCGCCGCCGCCGCCGCCACCAUCCCCCGCUCACCUUCAGCUGCUGUUUUGUUCUUCAUUCAUGUCGGGCCUUCCUCCGCCGGCCCGUUUGACUGACAGCAGAGACGAGCCCGGAGAGCCGGAGUCAUACAGGCACAACGGAGACAUAUGUUUCUGUCAGACGGCGUUAGGUUUGAUUCUCAUGGAACACAGAUGCCAUUAGAAGUAGAUGUCACAACGUUGCUGGAUGAAUCGGUUGAGGCUGCAACAAUCUGCUGACUUCCAUCCGUCACUGGCCCAGUGGAAACUGGGAGGGCGCCGCGGAUACACUGAUGAAAACUGGUGAUGGAACUUUAAAGUCACUCAACGGAGGACGAUGCACGCUGUGAAAUAACCUGACAUGACUGCUGAUGAAAACGGAUAGAGUCCUACGAGCUUCCUCUCUGAGCACAGACGGAGGCUGCCAGAAGGAGAGUAUCGCCACCAUCAGAUGGGAACCCUCGCUGUGCUCCCAUGCUGUGUUUGACUUCAGCUGACUCUAUCAGCGGCGAGUGAUUUGUGACUGACCCCGACGCUGUGACAAGAAACCAUGGCUAAAAGCUAAACAGUGGACUCAGCCCAGACUCAAACUGCAGUCCGCCCAUUAGUGACGUCACCUGACUUCCUCCUUUGCGCCGGUCAUAAUCCCUCCAGCCGCCGGAGAUCCAUCCCCUAACGAGGCCUGAGGGAAACAGCUGGACUCUGCGGGUUGCUGCCGAGCCGAGCCGGCGAAAAAACAGACAAAUCAGAGAGGUCUAAUUGUUUUUUAACGUGGU